Molecule: ribosomal RNA, 545 nt
Filed under: Chloritis diplochone
Lineage: Eukaryota; Metazoa; Mollusca; Gastropoda; Stylommatophora; Camaenidae
Description: partial large subunit ribosomal RNA
Source: RNAcentral
CCGCCCAGAGGUAAACGGGUGGAUCCGCAAAGUCGGCCCGCGGAAUUCAGCGCGGCGCGCAGCACUGGGCAGCCGUGGUUCGGGAUCCCUGGGACCCAGCCGCGGCGUCGUUCGGGGCUCCGCCGCGUGCACUUUCCGCGGGCAGAGUGCCACAACCGGUUCGGCGGCGGCUAAAAACCUUGGAGGGUUGUCGGUGGGGGCGCUCGCGUGCCUACCAGCCCUUCUGUGACGAGCCGUCGCCGGACCGAGGGAACGCCGCGCGCUUCGAGGCCACCCUCCCCUCCUGGUGAGUUCGACUGGGAGAGACUGGGCAACCGUGUCUCCCGACCGCUCAUCUGUGACCGGCGCGGGGCUGGCCGGGCGUGCAUUGUCUGUCACGGUUGGUGGCAAGUAUGUCGGCAGUCCACCCGACCCGUCUUGAAACACGGACCAAGGAGUCUAACAUGCGCGCGAGUCAUUGGGCGGUACGAAACCCAAAGGCGCAGUGAAAGCGAGGGUCGUCUCUCGGCGACCCAGGUGGGAUCCAACCUCCCAAGAGCGAUCUG